UAUCUUGAAGAACACCUUUUAUAUCUAAUUGAUUAGUCUUAUAAUCAUAAUAUCUAUAAUAUUUGAUUUCAUCAAAACCAGCAUGUUUGAAUAUGUUAGGAUGAUUACUCCAAGUAGGUGAUGGCAUAUAUAUUGCUUUAUUUCCAGGAUAAAACUUUUGCUAAAAAAAUUUGUAUAAUACUUUUAAGAUGCACUAUUUUAAAAAUUACCAAAAAAGCUGCCCCUAAUCUUAAUGCACCUGUACCUGACAAAGUUUGAACUGUUGUGAUCUAUAUAAAUUACAAAUAAAACUAGAAUAAAUUACUUUAUCAUUCUUAAGAUAUGGGUUGUCUUCACCAAAUGCUAAUUUCGCAGAUAAUUUACAGAAAUUAGGUAUACCACUAAUUGUGGUAUACUCUUUAUCCAUAUUAUUAGCCAGCAUCAUUUUUUCGGCCUAAUUUUAUCACUUAUAUAUUUUCAUAAAAUGAAAUACUUUUUUAACAGUUUCCAAAACAUAUGGCUUCCCAUUAUCAUCCCUAUAUGUACCAGCACCUAAAUUAAUUUUUUGUGAAUUUGUAUCCUUUUUAUAUGCUUCAGUAAUUCCCAAAAUGGCAUCAGGCGGCCCCAUUUCAACAUUAUGCCACAAAGAACUAUAAAUUCUUAUUACAUAGGUUACUGUUUAUUUAUAUUACGUUUGUCGUAAAAUUUUCAUCGCCUUAUAAGCCAUAUGGUUUAUAUGGUUAAUAUAAUAAAUAUAUAAAAUAAGAUGACACCUUCAAUCACAUUUGAAAUCUGGGAAUCAUGAUCAAUUAAUAACAUGCAAUCAAUAAUAUGUUUCUAUCUGAAUAUAUAUAGUUUUUAUAUUUAUAACUUGCUAGUAACUGGCCAGGAAUUUUAAAUUUAUAGGCUAAAAAUUAUACCUAAAUAGGGGCAUAAUUUAUAUAUUUUUGAAGUAGGGAAGGAUUUAAUUGGGGAAUGGAAGGUUUCUCCCAUAGUUUCCAUAAUUUCUUAAUGAGAUUGUGUCAUAUGUAGAUCAAAAAAUCAUCCAUUUUAGAAUGUCAGCAGCUUAGUGAGUUGGAAACCUUGCUUGUGGUUCACAUGUUAUAAACAAGAAAGGAAAAGGCAAUAAAUAUUAUCCAUCAUUUUUUUAUAAUAUUUAUAUUAUAAUUAUAAUUGAAAAAAAUAAACAAAUAUUAUUUUAUUAUUAUUCCAAGUGGAAUUUAUUAAUGUAGAAUUUGAACAUAUGUUUUUUAAUUUUUCCCACCACAUCACAAAAUAAUUGAUUUGCAAAAACAAAAUUCUAAAGGGCUAUAUCAGGAACCAUGGUAUAGGAAAAGUGAUUAUCGAAAAUUAAAUGGAUUUUCAUAUCCACUUGAUCCUUGUCAGUUUGUUUUAUGCUUUUAUCUGGUUUUAAUUAUAGUAUUUUAUAUUGGUACAUUUUACCCUCUAAUUCCUAGAGAUAUCAAAUUUUUGCUUCAAACAUACACAAUUAUUAUCAUAAUAUCAUUUGUAAUAAUAAUAUGUACAAUAACAUCUUAUCCCACUAACCAUCCCUUGUUAAAAUAUAGACCAGCUAAAGAGGAAAUUAUAAUAUUAGAUGUUACCUUAUAUCCCCUGGUUAUUGAUAAUGACUAUUGUAAUAUAUGUAAUAUACAUGUUGAUCUAGGCACUAAACACUGUAGAAUAUGUAACAAAUGUGUACCAAAAUGGGAUCAUCAUUGCUAUUACAUUAAUAAUUGUGUGGCCAGAGAUCAAAAUUUUUUCCUUUAUUUAAUCUUGUUAAUUAUCACAAUUAUGAUGUCUGUAACACUUAUGGCAUAUGGCAUUUAUCUUUUAGUCAUUUUUUAUAAAUUAAGCCUUGAUGAAAGGAAAGAAUAUGCAAUUAUUUUUGUUCAAGUGGACAAUUAUAUGUACAUUAUAUAUGUAAAUGUGAUCAUAUUUAUUAAUUUUUGCAUCCUACUGAA
Molecule: long non-coding RNA, 1943 nt
Organism: Gordionus sp. m RMFG-2023
Lineage: Eukaryota; Metazoa; Nematomorpha; Gordioida; Chordodea; Parachordodidae
Exons: 6
Source: RefSeq, a predicted model, not a curated record